AAUUAUUCAAUAACACUGUGUGAAUAAGUGUAUCAAAAAAUGUAUUUGUGGAGUCCCAUACAUUGAAACUUGAUGUAUAUGAUGUUGUCAUUACAUUUACUGAUGGUAAUACAGGCAGAUUGAAAAAGCUAAGAGGUAAAAUAACCAUACUGAAAGAACUGAACAAGCAGAAAGUUAAUAAAGUACAGCUACAAGCCAAAAUAUUGUCUAAAAUGAUAAGAUUUUUGGAAAGAUGAAAGAGAAUUUAUUUGGAUAAUACAGAAGAAGAUGAACAUUACAGUGGUGAAUGGUUUUAACUGCUGUUUUUACUAAAACUUAUUUACUACACUGAGAAAGAAGGGAUGGAAAUUUCAAUAUGACAUAGUUAUAGUGAAAAGAAAUUGUACUUUAGUAAAUCUGGAUUUCUUGAUGACCGAUAGAACAAUAUUUAUAUAUAAUGUUUUCAUUGUUUUUCAUGUUGCGAUGAUUGUGAGAUUCAAUGAGAAAAUAAAAUCGACUACAACUAUUAA
This is a long non-coding RNA of Vespula pensylvanica (western yellowjacket), 509 nucleotides long. RefSeq lists it as uncharacterized. The transcript has 2 exons. Lineage: Eukaryota; Metazoa; Arthropoda; Insecta; Hymenoptera; Vespidae. The record is from RefSeq and is a predicted model, not a curated record.